GGGUUGUAGCUCAGUGGUGGAGUGUUUGCCUAACAUGUGUGAGGUACUGGGUUUGAUCCUCAGCACCCA
This 69-nucleotide transfer RNA is filed under the name Marmota monax (woodchuck). RNAcentral describes it as "tRNA.Val". Lineage: Eukaryota; Metazoa; Chordata; Mammalia; Rodentia; Sciuridae. The record is from RNAcentral.